Molecule: unclassified non-coding RNA, 358 nt
Filed under: soil metagenome
Description: partial contains 5.8S ribosomal RNA, internal transcribed spacer 2, and large subunit ribosomal RNA
Rfam family: 5.8S ribosomal RNA (bases 1-120)
Source: RNAcentral
GAUGAAGAACGUAGCGAAAUGCGAUAAGUAAUGUGAAUUGCAGAAUUCAGUGAAUCAUCGAAUCUUUGAACGCACAUUGCGCCCGUCAGUAUUCUGGCGGGCAUGCCUGUUCGAGCGUCAUUACGCCCCUCAAGUCCCCUGUGGACUUGGUGUUGGGGAUCGGCGAGGCUGGUUUUCCAGCACAGCCGUCCCUUAAAUUAAUUGGCGGUCUCGCCGUGGCCCUCCUCUGCGCAGUAGUAAAACACUCGUAACAGGAGCCCGGCGCGGUCCACUGCCGUAAAACCCCCCAACUUUUUAUAGUUGACCUCGAAUCAGGUAGGACUACCCGCUGAACUUAAGCAUAUCAAUAAGCGGAGGA